GGAAAUGUGCCUGAAUGCCAAAGGGCCACUUUGAUAGAGUGGAUAAUGAGAGUUAGAGUCCCCCCAUUUCCU
RNAcentral lists this transfer RNA (72 nucleotides) under Pterothrissus gissu (Japanese gissu). RNAcentral describes it as "tRNA-Ile". It matches the Rfam family "tRNA". From Rfam's summary of the family: Transfer RNA (tRNA) molecules are approximately 80 nucleotides in length. Their secondary structure includes four short double-helical elements and three loops (D, anti-codon, and T loops). Further hydrogen bonds mediate the characteristic L-shaped molecular structure. tRNAs have two regions of fundamental functional importance: the anti-codon, which is responsible for specific mRNA codon recognition, and the 3' end, to which the tRNAs corresponding amino acid is attached (by aminoacyl-tRNA synthetases). tRNAs cope with the degeneracy of the genetic code in two manners: having more than one tRNA (with a specific anti-codon) for a particular amino acid; and 'wobble' base-pairing, i.e. permitting non-standard base-pairing at the 3rd anti-codon position. The record is from RNAcentral. Lineage: Eukaryota; Metazoa; Chordata; Actinopteri; Albuliformes; Albulidae.